CGAGCUCCGCCGAGCGCAGCAUCCCCGGCACGGCCGGGUGGGCUCGGGGUUCUGUGAGGCUUCCCCUCCUGUCCCUCUCUCUACCCGUCCUUCCUCCUGCCCGCAUUCCCCUCUGCCCCCCCAAACUCAGCUCCUUCCUGUCCUGUCCCUAGCCCGCUACUUCCUUCUGUUCCCCUUCUCUCUCCCUCCUCUGUCCACGGUCCCUCUUCUCCUUCUCUCGGGAUUUCCCUUCCCCUCCCGCUUUCCUCCCCAGUCCGACCUCCCUCCCUACCCUGCUAUCGCUCCUCUCUUCCUGUUCCCCCUUUCGUUCUUUCCCCGCGGCCGCGGGGCUCGGGGCGCCGGAGAAUAAAGCCCAGAGGGCCGGAGCCCGGCGCCCCUCGGCCCCUGCAGGAGUCCCCGCACGGGGCCGGAGCUCUCGGCGGAUCCCCCCGUGCCGCUCAGACACAGCGCCCGACACUGCCGGACCUGCGGCUCUCCCGACAUGCCGCUGAGAGCGGCCCCGCUCUGUGCCGAGCCGUCCCUGCCGCUCCCUGUCUCUGCCCCUCGGGGUGACAGCGAGGCUGGGGAGGAACUUCAGCCCUUCUGGGGGCUGCCCCCCCUUUCUUGGUGCGGCGGAGUCCCUUUCUGGGGGGAUGUGCGUGUGGAAAGGGCUUGAAGGAAGCGCUGCGCUGCUCUCCAGGGCAGUUUGACUCGUUCGGUGCCUUCUUUGGGGGUGGGGAAAGGGGGGUCAAGACUCGGGGCUCUGAUGUCAUUUGGGGCACCCCAAGGUCCCGAGGAGAGGGAGCCACACGGCGGUGGGGGAGCAGGUGGGUGGCGAAUGAGCGGGGUCAUGCUGGGUGCCGUCCUCCAGAGGGACCCAAAGCUGCCACAAAAUUCACGGGGAGGGGUGGGUGUAGAAUACUAAAACAUGACAAGUUUUUCGUGUUUAUAGGUAUUGCUAAAGAAUAGUAAUUUGUCUCUAAAUUCAUUUGGGAAGAAUCACAGAGCAGCCCCGAGUGUGAGCUGUGAGGAUGAUGACUGGGGCUGUUUUAGGGGGAGGGUUUGUGUCAGCUCCCUUUUGCCUGGAGCUGCUGAGUAGAAGGGUUUAUGGGGGGCUCCCGGGGGUGUCUCGGGGAAGGACAGUUAGAGCUUCUCCGAGGGUCUCGGGGAGCACCUGGAUACGCAAUUGGAUGCGUGGGGCAUUGCUUAAGGGAGGUGGCGAGGGCCAAAGCUUCGUGCUGGGAGGCAGCAGCUGAACAGGUGAGUUCGUGUGGAUUUGUAGUGGGGACUUCUUUCCGUUUUCCAUUUCAUCUUGCCAAUCCCUCCCCGGUGCCCCCAGAAAAAAAAAAAAGGGGGGGAUUGCGAGGACAAUAGAAAUAUGAAGUGUGGGAGGCAAGUUCUCUUCCAUUAUUGCCUGUGUUUGAAUAGGAUGGGAUCCCCCUUCACUUGUGGUUUUAGGGUAUUGAUUUAAGGAAUACCUGCUUUUCCCGGGUGUUAGGGGUAUCAGAGGGGUGAAAGGGAAUCCCUGUGUUCUAUUUUAAAGGUUUAAAGGAAAGGGAAGAAAUACUGUCAUAUUAUGGGUUUGAUUUGGAGUUUGCCCCCCCCCCCCCAUUUUAGUCAUCCUAAGGUUUAAAUUGAGGGGGCAGCCAUGUUGUCCCUCCUUUUAAAGGGUUUGAAUUGAGGUAAAAGCCCCCUCUUGCCAUCAUUUGAAGGAUUUCAUUUGCGGAAAACCCCUUUUUUCUGCUAUUAUAGGCUGUUAUAGAUACAAAUUAUAAUAUUGGCUUUUCAGAAAUAUUAAAAUGGAUUUUAUAUGCAUGAUGUUAAAGUAAUUUUGCUAUAAAGAUAUAGUUUGUAUUUCUGCUGUUAAUUAAGCUUAGACAUAAUAGUGAAAUAGCUAUGCUUGUGUUAAAAUGCCUGCUUGGGUGGGAUAACACCCAAUGAACACAGGAUGAGGACACCUGCUACAGCUAUGCCAACUAACAGCACGCACCGAGAAGGAGCCGAAACCACAGCCAAGAAACACAUAUGCUCUAAUAAAGGCAGACCUGAGGAGGGGCCAUGUAAAAUAGUUCCUGGAAAAUAUAAACUACUUUAUGGAUAUGCAUAAGGACUAUUAAUAUGCAACAGGCUGAUGUAAGGGUAAAGGUAGUUGAGGGUAUCCCCAAAGGUAAGUGUGGUCUUGGCUGAGAGCCAAGAUGCAUCCUUUGCUCUAUGGUCCUUUUCUCCUAUUUUCCUUCAUUCAACUUAAUAAAUUUUUACAGGAGA
Passer domesticus (house sparrow) is the source of this 2244-nucleotide long non-coding RNA. RefSeq lists it as uncharacterized. NCBI's taxonomy places the organism in Eukaryota, Metazoa, Chordata, Aves, Passeriformes, Passeridae. The record is from RefSeq and is a predicted model, not a curated record. The transcript has 2 exons.